Long non-coding RNA from Bombus terrestris (buff-tailed bumblebee), 1159 nucleotides. RefSeq lists it as uncharacterized. The transcript is spliced from 2 exons. The record is from RefSeq and is a predicted model, not a curated record. Lineage: Eukaryota; Metazoa; Arthropoda; Insecta; Hymenoptera; Apidae.
UCUACCUAUUACAACAAUUCCCAUGAAUUCUAACUACCAUAUAUUUAAACAUAAUAAAGGGACGAAGAGAAUUUACUUUUAUAAACAUUGCAAAAUAAUAUCUUCAGUGUUGUGCACAGUGAAAUUCUUCUUUAUACAUCUGUCCUAUCUAUCAGAGACGUGAACGGGAUUUUUAUGGAUUCUAACUAUCACUAGUCUUGAUAUCUUUUUAAAUCCUACUUGUGAGAAAUUUGAAGGUUUCUCUAUUAACCCUACUGGCCAGGAUUCUGAAGGUUCUUUUAUAAGUUCUAACCAGAAAAUUUUAAAGUCUAGUUGAAGUCUAUCUAUGGGGGUCUGAUAUAAAAAAGAUUUUAUAUUUGAUUUUAUAUCUGAUUUUAUAAGAUUUUAUAUCUGAUUUUAUAUUUAUAUAAAAAUCUAAAUAUCAUAAAGGGAUGGAAUGGGAAAUUGUAUUUCCUAUUGUAUAGAGCAUUAUAUAGGGCACGCGUGGGACGUGAGUGUCCUUCCGUCGAUUUCACAAUAUCCUAAAAUAAAUUUAAACCAUACAAAAAUUAAUACAAUUCUAUAAAUAUAUAUAUAGUAGGUACCAAUAGAAGGGACUCAAAUAUGACUUCUUCAUACAUGUUUCUUCUCUUUAAAUAAUUUUUUUAAAAUCCAUACUACUCCAUUUCCUAGUCGUUUGUUCAUACGUAUUUGAGAAGUCAUUAAAAUUCCAUAUGCAUAAUUUAUACUUCCUACAAGUUAAUCAAUCUGGAACAUACUCACUUAUUGGAUUAGUAGAUUAAAAAAAGGACAUGGAAGGUAGAUAUAUUAGACACAAGAAAAUAUCAAACUAUCAAGACACGAGUUUCAAUCUAAGGAUUUGAAUUGAAAAAUUUGAAUCUAAAUUUAACUUGGGUUUUUCAUUGAAGUGAAGUUCUAAGAUGAAGAAAGAACAGAUAAAAAUCACUCGGUUUAUUUCUUAACGAUCCAAUGACGUUUAAUUUGAUAACGAUCUUGUAACAACUUCAUUUACCAAACUGAUUAAUAACCAAUUUAUAUUUGUUGUUUAAGAUAAAUUUUAUAAUAACGAAUAUUCAGGUUAUUAAUUCUAAAAAGAUAUACCGAUCAUUCUUAUUUAUGUAUUUUUCAAAUAAAUUAAUAGUAUGAUAAUGUAUAAAAA